RNAcentral lists this ribosomal RNA (468 nucleotides) under uncultured bacterium. RNAcentral's name for it is "partial 16S ribosomal RNA". It matches the Rfam family "Bacterial small subunit ribosomal RNA", at positions 28 to 507 of the family's 1533-position model. The record is from RNAcentral.
GACGAACGCUGGCGGCGUGCUUAACACAUGCAAGUCGAACGGCAAGGCCCUGCUUUUGUGGGGUGCUCGAGUGGCGAACGGGUGAGUAACACGUGAGUAACCUGCCCUUGACUUUGGGAUAACUUCAGGAAACUGGGGCUAAUACCGGAUCGGAGCUCCUGCUGCAUGGUGGGGGUUGGAAAGUUUCGGCGGUUGGGGAUGGACUCGCGGCUUAUCAGCUUGUUGGUGGGGUAGUGGCUUACCAAGGGAUUGACGGGUAGCCGGCCUGAGAGGGUGACCGGCCACAUGGGGACUGAGAUACGGCCCAGACUCCUACGGGAGGCAGCAGGGGGUAAUAUUGCACAAUGGGCGGAAGCCUGAUGCAGCAACGCCGCGUGCGGGAUGACGGCCUUCGGGUUGUGAACCGCUUUCGCCUGUGACGAAGCGUGAGUGACGGUAAUGGGUAAAGAAGCACCGGCUAACUACGUG